GGGUCGGUAGCUCAGUUGGUAGAGCAGCGCCCUUUUAAGGCGUUAGUCGUGGGUUCGAGUCCCACCCGACCCA
RNAcentral lists this transfer RNA (73 nucleotides) under Steroidobacteraceae bacterium. Its description in RNAcentral is "tRNA-Lys". It matches the Rfam family "tRNA". From Rfam's summary of the family: Transfer RNA (tRNA) molecules are approximately 80 nucleotides in length. Lineage: Bacteria; Pseudomonadati; Pseudomonadota; Gammaproteobacteria; Steroidobacterales; Steroidobacteraceae. The record is from RNAcentral.